UACGGAGGGUGCAAGCGUUAAUCGGAAUUACUGGGCGUAAAGCGCACGUAGGUGGUUUGUUAAGCCAGCUGUGAAAUCCCCGGGCUCAACCUGGGCACUGCAGUUGGAACUGGCAAGCUAGAGUAGGGUAGAGGGGUGUGGAAUUCCAGGUGUAGCGGUGAAAUGCGUAGAUAUCUGGAGGAACAUCAGUGGCGAAGGCGACACCCUGGACUAAUACUGACACUGAGGUGCGAAAGCGUGGGGAGCAAACAGG
Molecule: ribosomal RNA, 253 nt
Filed under: uncultured bacterium
Lineage: Bacteria
Description: partial 16S ribosomal RNA
Rfam family: Bacterial small subunit ribosomal RNA
Source: RNAcentral